Molecule: non-coding RNA, 108 nt
Organism: Postia placenta Mad-698-R
Lineage: Eukaryota; Fungi; Basidiomycota; Agaricomycetes; Polyporales; Adustoporiaceae
Source: Rfam
GGCAAGAUGGCCGAGCGGUCUAAGGCGCUGGAAUCAGGAGGGUUUAUCACAUGAUGAACUUAAAUAAUCCAGUCCGAAAGGGCGUGGGUUCAAAUCCCACUCUUGUCA